AACCCGGAAGGCAGCUCAGGCCUCCACACCCUGGGUUCCUCAGCGGAUGUAAUGCCCAGCCAGGAGGGAGUGUCACUGCUCCGCGUGAGGGUUAAACUGCCAUCACCUCGCUGUUUACUCCAAGGAAACUAGAGAAAGCGCAGAUCACCCUCAGAGCGAUAAACGUCCCUUGUCUCCAGGAGUUUUCUGUUCCAGUUUUCCCAGUACUACUUACUGAAAAGACUGUCCUUUCUCCAUUGAAUGGUCUUGGCACCCUUGUCAAAACCAAAUAUUUCCCUUGGCCAGCAGAGCUUACACAACUGGGGCUCCAAUACCUCCUUAAAAUUACAGAAGAGACAUGUGCUCAAUCAGAAGGUUGGAUGUGUAAUGGAUGUCUGUUGAAAGGACUGAAGACAGAAAAACCUAUCCUAAUGAUACUCCAAACCAAAUAUGUGUCUUGCUUUCCAACAUCUACAAGCUCUAUUUUUGUUGAAAAAUAAAAUCAGUAAUCUCGUUAAUUCUUUCAACAGAUGCCCGUUCUACUUUUAGCUUUGAGAAACAGCCAGUCGGUCUUAUUAAAGACCACAGUGGAAAGGGAAUAUGAUUUCUUUGAUUAGCUAUGGAUGAGGAAGGAAACUGUGGCCCCC
RNAcentral lists this long non-coding RNA (626 nucleotides) under Equus caballus (horse). Its description in RNAcentral is "lncRNA (ENSECAG00000051981.1)". The record is from RNAcentral. Lineage: Eukaryota; Metazoa; Chordata; Mammalia; Perissodactyla; Equidae.